AUCUAGAUGACGAAUCCGAAAUAGGACGAAAUGCGCAUCCUGGAU
This 45-nucleotide non-coding RNA is filed under the name Trichobilharzia regenti. The record is from RNAcentral. Lineage: Eukaryota; Metazoa; Platyhelminthes; Trematoda; Strigeidida; Schistosomatidae.